Anthonomus grandis grandis is the source of this 639-nucleotide long non-coding RNA. RefSeq lists it as uncharacterized. Lineage: Eukaryota; Metazoa; Arthropoda; Insecta; Coleoptera; Curculionidae. The transcript has 4 exons. The record is from RefSeq and is a predicted model, not a curated record.
UUAGAUUUUCUUUAGCACGUGUUAUUUGCCGCGUUUAUUGCAGAAAAAAUGUCAAAACGUGUGUUAUUUUUACAAGGAUUGAAAGAUUUCUGUGAAAAAAAGACAUCGUGUAGGCCUAGUAGUGUUAGUGGUCCUUUAUUUACUUCUUGUGAGGAGAAAGAAAACGUACCGGUCGGCGACAUAAAUAAAGUUAUUAAUGAACCAAAUUACAUAGAGACUGAUGUCUGUCACGACCAGUCUUGUGAGAAUAAUGAUGUUGAUCAUACUAGCGAUUUUUUUUCCUAUAUGAUAACAUAAGUCACCCCGAAGAAGGUAAUUAACAAAUAAUCAUUUUAUUAAUACGAGUAAUUUUGAGAAAAUAUAAAUAACUUUUUUAGAAUAUUUAUGCCUAACCUCUGUAGUCGAUGAUUUUUUGGAUCCUAUACCUUUUUCAGAGCAGAUCAUUAUGAGCGAACCUGUUGAUAUUAAUAAAAAAGUUACUGAUAACAUAAAUGAAGUGCAAGAUAAUGAUUGCGAUCAAUUAACUAAUACGCGCUCUAGUAAAAAUCUUCUUAAGGAAGUUUUUUUAGAUGGUUUAUACCUAAGUCCCGGAAAGAAUUCUGAUUUAGAUGAUUCAUACUCUGACCCUACUUUUUUGCC